Molecule: ribosomal RNA, 567 nt
Filed under: uncultured bacterium
Lineage: Bacteria
Description: partial 16S ribosomal RNA
Rfam family: Bacterial small subunit ribosomal RNA
Source: RNAcentral
UGGGGAAUAUUGCACAAUGGGCGAAAGCCUGAUGCAGCAACGCCGCGUGAGUGAUGAAGGCCUUCGGGUUGUAAAGCUCUGUCUUUUGGGACGAUAAUGACGGUACCAAAGAAGGAAGCCACGGCUAACUACGUGCCAGCAGCCGCGGUAAUACGUAGGUGGCAAGCGUUGUCCGGAUUUUACUGGGCGUAAAGGAUGCGUAGGCGGAUUUUUAAGUGAGAUGUGAAAUACCCGGGCUUAACUUGGGUGCUGCAUUUCAAACUGGGAAUCUAGAGUGCGGGAGAGGAGAAUGGAAUUCCUAGUGUAGCGGUGAAAUGCGUAGAGAUUAGGAAGAACACCAGUGGCGAAGGCGAUUCUCUGGACCGUAACUGACGCUGAGGCAUGAAAGCGUGGGUAGCAAACAGGAUUAGAUACCCUGGUAGUCCACGCCGUAAACGAUGAGUACUAGGUGUAGGAGGUAUCGACCCCCUUCUGUGCCGCAGUUAACACAAUAAGUACUCCGCCUGGGAAGUACGAUCGCAAGAUUAAAACUUAAAGGAAUUGACGGGGGUCAUAGCUGUUUUUCCC